This 251-nucleotide ribosomal RNA is filed under the name uncultured prokaryote. Its description in RNAcentral is "partial 16S rRNA". It matches the Rfam family "Bacterial small subunit ribosomal RNA", at positions 525 to 775 of the family's 1533-position model. The record is from RNAcentral.
ACGUAGGUGGCGAGUGUUGUCAGGAAUCACUGGGCGUAAAGGGCGCGUAGGCGGUUUUACAAGUCACAUGUGAAAUACCAGGGCUUAACUUUGGGGGUGCAUGUGAAACUGUAGGACUUGAGUGCAGUAGAGGUAAGCGGAAUUCCUGGUGUAGCGGUAAAAUGCGUAGAGAUCAGGAGGAACACCGGUGGCGAAGGCGGCUUACUGGGCUGCAACUGACGCUGAGGCGCGAAAGCGUGGGGAGCAAACAG